ACUCCACACAGGCAGGCAGUGCUUAUGUAGGCAGCGUGCAUGGAAGCGUCCUGGAACAGAGUAAUAUUAACAAACACGGAUUCCAGCUAGGCAGCACGCACACUGGCGGAGCUACACCCACUACACCCUCGCGUCAUUAUGCAGUGUGAGAGGAGGCCGGGAGAGGCAGUGAGAGCAGUGAGAGAGGAGGGAGAGCGACACAAUAUCCUGCUAUGAUGAAAGAAUCCACGAACUUUUUGCAUUUCAAGACUGUAGGAGGAUUUCAUAACAUUCCAUAACGUCUCCUCUUUGCCUGACGACCAGCAGUGCAUGAGUUAUCCCUGACGAACACCAAGACAACAAAAACAAAUCACCCAUGAGUCUUAUGUUUCCUAAUAAAUAUAUUCAAAAUCA
Scylla paramamosain (green mud crab) is the source of this 393-nucleotide long non-coding RNA. RefSeq lists it as uncharacterized. NCBI's taxonomy places the organism in Eukaryota, Metazoa, Arthropoda, Malacostraca, Decapoda, Portunidae. The transcript is spliced from 2 exons. The record is from RefSeq and is a predicted model, not a curated record.